UCAGGGUAAACCUGAGAAACCCGAAAGGUCGAAAGGGGAAAUUUCAUUCGCGUUUCGAUUGUCUAAGUUAAAUGUUUGUUUGACGGAUGAUGUGUUUCGGCGCAUGAGUCCGCAUCUUAUGUUUUUCUAAUAGAUGUCGAACGCGUGCACUUUUCCUCUAGUAGGACGUCGUGAUCCGUUGGGUGUCUGUCUAAGGCUCGAGGUGGAGCCCACGUGAUUUUUUAAUUAUGUGGACCCUUGAUGUUCCGACAGACUCGCUCGACGGUAUAAAUAUGGCGCGGGGCCGCUACUCAGUUAGCGUUCGGCCCGUAGCAAGCACGUUUCGUGUUUGACGGCGAUCGGACCUAGUGCCGAUUCUGUCCCGGAACGACUGUUGGUUACGGUGUUCUCGAACAGACCUCGUUUUGAAACGCCGAUCAACGACGCUAUAGAU
Molecule: ribosomal RNA, 433 nt
Filed under: Monoxia debilis
Lineage: Eukaryota; Metazoa; Arthropoda; Insecta; Coleoptera; Chrysomelidae
Description: partial 28S ribosomal RNA
Source: RNAcentral